This 253-nucleotide ribosomal RNA is filed under the name uncultured bacterium. Its description in RNAcentral is "partial 16S ribosomal RNA". It matches the Rfam family "Bacterial small subunit ribosomal RNA", at positions 524 to 776 of the family's 1533-position model. The record is from RNAcentral.
UACGUAGGGUGCAGGCGUUAAUCGGAAUUACUGGGCGUAAAGCGUGCGCAGGCGAUUUGCUAAGACAGGUGUGAAAUCCCCGGGCUUAACCUGGGAACUGCGCUUGUAACUGGCAAGCUUGAGUGUGGCAGAGGGGGGUGGAAUUCCACGUGUAGCAGUGAAAUGCGUAGAGAUGUGGAGGAACACCGAUGGCGAAGGCAGCCCCCUGGGCUAACACUGACGCUCAUGCACGAAAGCGUGGGGAGCAAGCAGG